RNAcentral lists this ribosomal RNA (112 nucleotides) under Caerostris extrusa. The record is from RNAcentral. Lineage: Eukaryota; Metazoa; Arthropoda; Arachnida; Araneae; Araneidae.
AACGGCCAUACCAUGCUGAAUAUACCGGUUCUCGUUAGAUCACCGAAGUCAAGAAUCAUUCGGCGCGGUCAGUACUUGGGUGGGUGACCACCUGGGAACACCGCGUGCCGUU